Small nuclear RNA from Myodes glareolus (Bank vole), 116 nucleotides. RefSeq annotates it as U5 spliceosomal RNA. The record is from RefSeq and is a predicted model, not a curated record. NCBI's taxonomy places the organism in Eukaryota, Metazoa, Chordata, Mammalia, Rodentia, Cricetidae.
AAACCCUGGUUUCUCUUCAGAGCCUAUAAAUCUUUCGCCUUUUUCUAAAGAUUUCCGUGGAGAGGAACAACUCUGAGUCAUAGCCCAGUUUUUAAAAAUGAAUAUAAAAAAAAAUC